Molecule: ribosomal RNA, 468 nt
Filed under: uncultured bacterium
Lineage: Bacteria
Description: partial 16S ribosomal RNA
Rfam family: Bacterial small subunit ribosomal RNA
Source: RNAcentral
GACGAACGCUGGCGGCGUGCUUAACACAUGCAAGUCGAACGGAAAGGCCCUGCUUUUGUGGGGUGCUCGAGUGGCGAACGGGUGAGUAACACGUGAGUAACCUGCCCUUGACUUUGGGAUAACUUAAGGAAACUGGGGCUAAUACCGGAUAGGAGCUCCUGCUGCAUGGUGGGGGUUGGAAAGUUUCGGCGGUUGGGGAUGGACGCGCGGCUUAUCAGCUUGUUGGGGGGGUAGUGGAUUACCAAGGCUUGGACGGGUAGCCGGCCUGAGAGGGUGACCGGCCCCAUUGGGACUGAGCUACGGCCCAGACUCCUACGGGAGGCAGAGGUGGGGAAUAUUGCACAAUGGGCGGAAGCAUGAUGCAGCAACGCCGCGUGCGGGAUGACGGCCUUCGGGUUGUAAACCGCUUUUGUCUGUGACGAAGCGUGAGUGACGGUAAUGGGUAAAGAAGCCCCGGCUAACUACGUG